UAAAAGGUAGUGAGAAAGAGGAGUACACAACCACCCUUGAAAGAGAGAAUGGUUCACCGGCUGAAAGACCGUUUAAAGUAGGAGUUGUGGAAGGUAGCUUUUGAACCGGAAGGCUGAAUUUGCAGUAGGCUUUCACGAUUAAUCCCCGUUACAGGAUAAGAGAUAUGUAUUACUUGUAGUGCAUAAAUAAAGGUGGUACCGCGAAUUUUCGCCCUUUAC
This 219-nucleotide non-coding RNA is filed under the name Roseburia sp. Its description in RNAcentral is "T-box sequence". It matches the Rfam family "T-box leader". From Rfam's summary of the family: Uncharged tRNA acts as the effector for transcription antitermination of genes in the T-box leader family. T-boxes are found upstream of many aminoacyl-tRNA synthetase genes and some amino acid biosynthetic genes usually in Gram-positive bacteria. The record is from RNAcentral. Lineage: Bacteria; Bacillati; Bacillota; Clostridia; Lachnospirales; Lachnospiraceae.